RNA transcript from Felis catus (domestic cat), 5890 nucleotides. It is a transcript of the gene named proline rich transmembrane protein 3, with no coding region annotated. The transcript has 5 exons. The record is from RefSeq and is a predicted model, not a curated record. Lineage: Eukaryota; Metazoa; Chordata; Mammalia; Carnivora; Felidae.
GGGAGCAGAAUCCACCCCUAAGGGGAAAGGGUUAAGUGGGGAUGGCUUUCCUGUGGGCGGGCUCGGCGAUCGGCAGCGCCGGGCUCUGUUAGCCAAGUCUGAGCAUCGCGGAGGAUGCGGCGCGGGGAGCGGCUGCAGGGACGCGCGCAAGGUGAACGCGGGGGCUGCCGGCUACGCGCCCAGGCUCAUCCAGUGAGGACUGGAAGUUGAGUGUUUUAGGCCCACACAUCAGAGUGGACCAUGGCCCCCAGCCCAUGGGGCCGUGUAUGUGGCCCCCUACUGCUGAUGCUGCUGCUCUCCCUGGGGCCUGGCCCUGCUCUGGGCCGGCGCCUUCCCAAGCCACUUGAGGACUCGGAACCACACCUGAUCCUAGGAGAUGACCCCCAGGGCCCUAUGGGCACAGAGCCCCAUGCCCUCGACUUCCUCUGGCAGAAGUCCAGAGAUGAGAGCCCCUGGAACUCCAAUGUCCCCCAGGUCCCUGCCGAGGAAGCACCUGAGGCGCCCGCAGAUUCUCCCCUUGGCCCAGCCCUGCACGGACCUAAAGCAGCCCAUAGGGCUCAGAGAGAAGGACUCCCAGUAACUGAUGAUCUCCAGAUGGCUCGAGGGCCAAGUUCUCAUGGCUGGACAGGACCUCCUGACUCACAGGAGCCUAUGGAGCAAGAAGCACCAGCCCCCCAUCCAGUGGGUCUCCCCCAUCUCACUAUCAUCCCCAUAACUCCCAGACUCCAACUCAGGAUAGCUACAGUUUCUCCCUCCCCAGGGCCGGAGGAAUCUGGAGGCCAAAUGGGACAACAACCACCUAAAGAUGAGGGUCUGGUGGCCGAAGCCAAGAUCAGAGUCUCAGAGAUAUCCCCCUUAGACCACCAGGGCCCUUCCCAGACUCUUGCCCCCAACUUGGGCACUACCAAGACGCCAGUGCUGGAAGAACAGGGUGGGGGCGAGGAGGACUACCAGGAGGCAGCUCAAAGCCCCCUCUUCACCCAACAAGAUCCAGCAGCCCCUCAUGUUGGUUUGGUAUCUCCAGCUGAGGUGGCAUCCUCUCAGGAGCCUGGGCCCCAGCCAGACCUGGCAUUGGCCAAAAGCCUUCCUCCUACUGAGGAGCUACCACUUGAGCUCCCCAAGAAGGCUGGAGGUGGGGAGACCUGGGAAGUCAGUCUUCCAAGUCCCUCACCCAAAGAGGCUGAUCUUUCUGAUGUGAGGAGCUCACCAAGACCCCAGCCCUCAGGUCCCCCAGCCACAGAGACUCCUGACGUGCAACCUAAGCCAGAGAUAGCAGCAAUGAAUGGAGCAGACCCCAUCUCCCCUCAGCGGGUGAGAGGAGCACUGGAGACCCCAGGUACCCCCAAGUCCCUCAUCCCUGGCCCCUUGGACCCUGGCCCAACUACAAAUCGAACAGAGAGCCCUGUGGGGGCCCUGCAGCCAGAUGAAGCCGAGGAGUGGCCGGGGCGCCCCCAAAGCCAUCCCCCAGCACCCCCAGUCCAGGCCCCCUCGACGUCACGCCGGGGCCUCAUUCGGGUCACUACGCAGCGCGCCCUGGGCCAGCCACCCCCUCCGGAGCCCUCAGCCAGCUCCAUGGCAUCAGCCCCAGCCACCAGCCCCCCGGCCAAUGCCACCGCCCCUCCCCUGCGCUGGGGUCCCCUGCGGCGGGUGCUGAGCUUUUCCUGGGAGCUGCACGUCUAUGGGGUGGGGGUGCUCUUCCUGUUGCCCGUGUUGUUGGCACUGGCCUCACUGGCAGCUGCCCCUGCGGGGCCCCGGCUGGCUCUGGUGGCAGCGGUGCUGGUGCUCAUAGCGUCGGGGCUUCGAUCUGCCUACAUGCUCGCGGACCCAUACGGCUCUCAGGCCCGGCUGGGCUUACGCACCGGCCUGGUGCUCUACAACCUGCCCUUCCCCUUGCUGCUCACUGCGCUGGCGGCCCUGACCCUACUCGGGCUGGGCGCGGGGCUGCCACAGCAGCUGCAAAACCCGCUCCUGCUGGGAGCGUUGGCGUUGGCGCACGGCGUGGGGUUGCUGACUACUGACCUGUUGUCAGUGAGGCCUGCGUUCAACCUCCUGGCUCAGGGCUUGUCUUGUGCCUGGGGCGCGGCCGUGGCUCUGGGCACACUCUGUCUGUGCCGUCGCCGCCUGCUGGACGGGCCGCGGGGCUGGGAUGCCAGCCCGGGCCCGCGGCUGCUGGCCGUGGCCGGCGCGCUGGGGCUGCUGGCCAGUGGCUUGCAACUGGCAGCGGCGCUCUGGCUAUACCCGGGCCCAGGUCGGGUGGGUCGCUUUUCGUGGGCCUGGUGGGGCGUCCACUUCUGGCUGCGCCUGCUGGAGCUGACAUGGGCCCUCACCCUUGCGCUAGCCGCUGUAGCCGCCGCGCGGCCCAGGCCGCCCACAGAGCACGCUUGCUGGGCUAAGUUGCUGCGCCUGGCGUGCCCCACGCCCUCGGGCAAGAGCGAGGUGCCUGAGCGACCAAACAACUGCUAUGCGGGGCCUAGUGGCGUGGGUGCAGGCAGCUUGGACAUAAGCAAGAGCCUCAUCCGCAACCCAGCAGAGGGUGGGCUGCCUGCCACGCCCAGUUCAGGCGCCUGGGGGUCGGCUGCGUCGUUGGGCCGCGGUCCCCAGGGUGGCCCUGGACUGUCCCGCAGCAGCGUGGGGCCGGCGCCGUCGAUGAGCGAGCUGGACCUGCGGCCGCCAUCACCCAUCAACUUGAGCCGCAGCAUCGACGCCGCGCUCUUCCGAGAGCACUUGGUGCGAGACAGCGUUUUCCGGCGCUGUGGCCUGCGCGGUCUGUCCUCCCCGCCGCCCGGGGGCGCGCUGCGGCCGCGCCGGGGCAGCCACCCCGACGCCGAGCUCGAGGGCGCAGGCUCUUCGCUCCUGAGGGGCCGCUGCCGGUCUCUCAGCGACGUGCGCGUGCGCGGCCCGGUCCCACCACAUGUCGCGGAUGAACCUGACGGGGCGGUUUCUGGCAGCUCCAUGGACAGCUUCUCCCGGGGCUCGCUCAAGAUCAGCUGGAACCCGUGGCGUCACGGGCUGUCGUCGGUGGACAGUCUGCCCCUGGAUGAGCUGCCCAGCACGGUGCAGCUACUGCCUGCCCCAGCCCCUGCUCCUGCCCCCACCCCCUCCCGGCCCGGGGAACCUCAGAGUGAGGUCCAGCCUCGCUGCAAGCCCGGGGACUCCCGCAGCGCCUCCAGUGACACCAUCGAGCUCUGAGGGGUCCAGGGAUGCAGGACCGGGGCCCUACCCUCGAUGGCCAUAUGGCUUGGCCGACUGGGACAACUGAACAUUUGAAAAACUGGCAUUCCCGGGUUUCCAUCUAACUACAGCCCCUGGCAACAUUGGGGCAUGAACCUAACUGCCCCCAUUUUGUUUUUUAAAUAUCUAUUUUUUUCAGUGGGUAUUUUGCACAGAGGCUGUGACUUAUGCGGAAUACAGGGUGGACAUGCAUGGAUUUGGGUGUGGGAUAUGGGGUCCAGGUACCCCCAAACACCCCUCCAGACUCCGUAGUGUGGAGAUGAGGUUUGCUUGCCCAGACUGACUGUCCUCUUUGUGCCAAAGAAAUAAACCCUUAGGACUUGGCUCAUGCCUCCCUCUGGCCAUGCCAGGAUCCCGUUCAGAGAAGAGGUAGCAGUCCCCACCCCCGACCCCCAGCAAUCCCAAGUCCCCUAUAUGUUGGGGAGGGGAGGACCCAGAAAGGAAAUGUACCCCACUGUGGGAAGCCAUGAGAAUAACGGCUACAGAACAUCUAUCUGUUGUACACGGUUUUCAGCUCUUCGUAUUUAUCAUCUUCCUUAAUUCUAUUAAGCCUGAGUGGAAAGCAUUAUCAUGCCCAUUUUAUAGAUGGGAAGAGUGAAGAUCAGAGACAAAAGCAAUUUGUCCAGGGUCCUUUGGCAAAUGAUAGCUGGCAACGAACCCAGGAACCUCCAUUCCAAAGCCUGGUUCCUCCAUCCCCUUCUCCUAACACUACUUCAGGGCCAAGCCCCUCUGUCCUUAUACUGCUCCUCCAUCAUGGUAGCCCUCAAUUUCCCAGGGUUUUAGAAAAUUUCCCCAAGGGUGGGGUGGGGGGGGCUCGCAGUAGCUCAGGCCAACCCAUAGGGAGUAGGAGGCAGGUAGUGAGACUGAAGUUUCUCCAUUUUCCAAGACCUUUAUUUCCUGAGAUGAAUAAAUAAUCAGCGGCUGAGGGGCAGGGGUACAGAACAGGAGCUGGCAGCAUGCAGCUGGCAGGAGGAGGCUAUGAUGGGCCCACCCCUGGAGGGAAUCCCCCCUCAUCCUGGACAGGGGCCAAAGCCCACUAGCAGCCACCACAAGGAGAUACUUUUUUAAAAAUUCACACACAUUGUGAAGCCUACCCAGUUCCCCCAGGCCAAGAUCUCAUGGCAUCCAUAUUUAGGGCUACUUUUUCACCCCAAGGGUCUCACCUGCCUAGGUGUCAGGUGUGGUAUUUACCCCGCUCAAAAAUAAAGCAAGCUGCCUCAAGUGUCCAGGCAGGAAAGAGGCCUGACUUCUGGGGGCAGCCUGGAUAGGAGGAGAUCCUGCAAAUGUGGCAAGGAUUAUCUGCCCUUGAUGAAGCCCUCCAGCACACGGUCGCUGCGCUCUGACAACCAGUAGCCAGUCAUGGCCGCCACAGCCCCAAUGAAGAUGGCGGUAAACACCAAGUCACCCUUGGCAGCUAGUGUGGCCAGUGCACAGAUGAUGACACCGAAGAACAUCUGCUGCAGCACCACCAGCUCAUCCUCUGUCAUCUCCGAGAAGAAGCCUGCUGACUCUGUGAGGAACAAGAGAAGCACCUGUCACUCCCCCGCUGUUCCUGGAGCUUCCCACGUACCUCAUCAUUGUGCCACAUGGUUGCCCAGCAAGCUGGCACAUGAUGUCAUUUACUGCUGAGAACAACUCCAACGGGCAGUUAUUGUCCCUGUCUCAAUAAAUGGGAAACUGAGGUUCAGAGCGGUGAAGAGGUUUGCCCAAGAUCAUGUGGUGGACAAGUCUGGAGACAGCCUGUGUACCAGCCCGGCUCCAGAGCCAGACUGCAUGGAUUUGACUCGCAGCUCUGCAACCUGCUUGUCAUGUGGUCCUGGGCAAGUUAUUUCAUCUGUCGGCAUCCUAGUUUCCACCCUGUAAAGUGAGGAUGAGAAUAAUACGAACAGCACUGGACCUAUUGUAGAAGCGAAAUAACUUAAUACAUGCAACAGGCUUGGAACAGUGUCAACACAUGGUAAGAGCUGUGAAGUAGUCACCAUCGUCAUCAUUGUGGUUGUCCUUCAUCUCAGAACAACAGCCUGCAACAGCUGUCAGCAGCCCAGGAAUCAGCACUUACCUCGGCACUCAUAGGAGCCCUCUGUGUUCACACAGAACUGGUUGGAUCCACAGCUGGCUCGUUCCGUGCCACACUCAUCGAUGUCUGCAGGGAAACAGGCAGGAUACGGAUUUCAAUCCCUAUCGCACUAACAGGGAAGCUGAGGCCAAGGUUGUUGGGGAAGGGACCUGCUCCGACUCAAAUAGCUUGGCAGAGACUGCCGGCUGUGUGCCAACACGAAGGCAGAGGUGCAGUAGGACUUCGGGCCGCCCAACUAACGAUGACAUUUUCCAAUCUGCCUUGCAGCUAAGUGUGGCCUAAUGAUUGAGUUCUGGCCAACAGGAUGUAAACAGAAAUGAUGUGCUCCACUUUUAGCUUGGCCUUAAAACAACAGAAGUGGACUCUUCCAUGCAUUUUCUUCCCUUUCUCACUUCCUGAGUGUUGGUCAUGGAACAUGGAGGUACCUCAAGCAACAAAAACAUCCCAAGGGGAUGACCACACUGUAAGACAGAAAGUAUCUGGGUCCUUGAAUGCUUGUAACAGGUGGAACUUCCUUGCCAGCCUGGACCACUUGUUUUAAGACUGUGGUAUAAGAUAAAAAUAAACCUCUAUAUUCUUUAA